RNAcentral lists this ribosomal RNA (919 nucleotides) under Aspergillus niger. RNAcentral describes it as "SSU rRNA". It matches the Rfam family "Eukaryotic small subunit ribosomal RNA", at positions 90 to 1018 of the family's 1831-position model. The record is from RNAcentral. Lineage: Eukaryota; Fungi; Ascomycota; Eurotiomycetes; Eurotiales; Aspergillaceae.
CGAAUGGCUCAUUAAAUCAGUUAUCGUUUAUUUGAUAGUACCUUACUACAUGGAUACCUGUGGUAAUUCUAGAGCUAAUACAUGCUGAAAACCUCGACUUCGGAAGGGGUGUAUUUAUUAGAUAAAAAACCAAUGCCCUUCGGGGCUCCUUGGUGAAUCAUAAUAACUUAACGAAUCGCAUGGCCUUGCGCCGGCGAUGGUUCAUUCAAAUUUCUGCCCUAUCAACUUUCGAUGGUAGGAUAGUGGCCUACCAUGGUGGCAACGGGUAACGGGGAAUUAGGGUUCGAUUCCGGAGAGGGAGCCUGAGAAACGGCUACCACAUCCAAGGAAGGCAGCAGGCGCGCAAAUUACCCAAUCCCGACACGGGGAGGUAGUGACAAUAAAUACUGAUACGGGGCUCUUUUGGGUCUCGUAAUUGGAAUGAGUACAAUCUAAAUCCCUUAACGAGGAACAAUUGGAGGGCAAGUCUGGUGCCAGCAGCCGCGGUAAUUCCAGCUCCAAUAGCGUAUAUUAAAGUUGUUGCAGUUAAAAAGCUCGUAGUUGAACCUUGGGUCUGGCUGGCCGGUCCGCCUCACCGCGAGUACUGGUCCGGCUGGACCUUUCCUUCUGGGGAAUCUCAUGGCCUUCACUGGCUGUGGGGGGAACCAGGACUUUUACUGUGAAAAAAUUAGAGUGUUCAAAGCAGGCCUUUGCUCGAAUACAUUAGCAUGGAAUAAUAGAAUAGGACGUGCGGUUCUAUUUUGUUGGUUUCUAGGACCGCCGUAAUGAUUAAUAGGGAUAGUCGGGGGCGUCAGUAUUCAGCUGUCAGAGGUGAAAUUCUUGGAUUUGCUGAAGACUAACUACUGCGAAAGCAUUCGCCAAGGAUGUUUUCAUUAAUCAGGGAACGAAAGUUAGGGGAUCGAAGACGAUCAGAUACCGU